GUCCUCGCAGAGCAGCCUGGAGUGCUCGCCACCCUGUCACGGUGGAGAUCAGGGGUUCAAAUCCCCUCGGGGACG
This 75-nucleotide transfer RNA is filed under the name Planctomycetota bacterium. RNAcentral's name for it is "Planctomycetes bacterium tRNA-Asp". It matches the Rfam family "tRNA". From Rfam's summary of the family: Transfer RNA (tRNA) molecules are approximately 80 nucleotides in length. Lineage: Bacteria; Pseudomonadati; Planctomycetota. The record is from RNAcentral.